AGGGAUAUAGCUCAGUGGUAGAUCACGUGCUUGGCAUGCCCGAGAUCCUGGGUUCAAUCCUCAGUGCCUCUG
This 72-nucleotide transfer RNA is filed under the name Camelus bactrianus (Bactrian camel). It matches the Rfam family "tRNA". From Rfam's summary of the family: Transfer RNA (tRNA) molecules are approximately 80 nucleotides in length. RNAcentral also lists the same sequence under 3 other names. Lineage: Eukaryota; Metazoa; Chordata; Mammalia; Artiodactyla; Camelidae. The record is from Rfam by way of RNAcentral.